UCCUACGGGAGGCAGCAGUGGGGAAUUGUUCGCAAUGGGCGCAAGCCUGACGACGCAACGCCGCGUGGAGGAUGAAGAUCUUCGGGUCGUAAACUCCUUUCGAUCGAGACGAACAGCCUCUGGGUGAACAAUCCGGAGGUCUGACGGUACCGAGAGAAGAAGCCCCGGCUAACUCCGUGCCAGCAGCCGCGGUAAUACGGGGGGGGCAAGCGUUGUUCGGAAUUACUGGGCGUAAAGGGCUCGUAGGCGGCCAACUAAGUCAGACGUGAAAUCCCUCGGCUUAACCGGGGAACUGCGUCUGAUACUGGAUGGCUUGAGUUUGGGAGAGGGAUGCGGAAUUCCAGGUGUAGCGGUGAAAUGCGUAGAUAUCUGGAGGAACACCGGUGGCGAAGGCGGCAUCUUGGACCAACACUGACGCUGAGUGAGCGAAAGCCAGGGGAGCAAACGGGAUUAGAUACCCCGGUAGUCCUGGCCCUAAACGAUGAAUGCUUGGUGUGGCGGGUAUCGAUCCCUGCCGUGCCGAAGCUAACGCAUUAAGCAUUCCGCCUGGGGAGUACGGUCGCAAGGCUGAAACUCAAAGAAAUUGACGGGGGCCCGCACAAGCGGUGGAGCAUGUGGUUCAAUUCGACGCAACGCGAAGAACCUUACCCAGGCUUGAACUGCGAGUGACCACUCACGAAAGUGAGCUUCCGCAAGGACACUCGUAGAGGUGCUGCAUGGCUGUCGUCAGCUCGUGUCGUGAGAUGUUGGGUUAAGUCCCGCAACGAGCGCAACCCUUGUUUGCUGUUGCCAUCAGGUUAUGCUGGGCACUCUGCAAAGACUGCCGGUGAUAA
RNAcentral lists this ribosomal RNA (833 nucleotides) under uncultured bacterium. RNAcentral's name for it is "bacterial SSU rRNA". It matches the Rfam family "Bacterial small subunit ribosomal RNA", at positions 337 to 1161 of the family's 1533-position model. The record is from RNAcentral.